Molecule: ribosomal RNA, 218 nt
Filed under: uncultured bacterium
Lineage: Bacteria
Description: partial 16S ribosomal RNA
Rfam family: Bacterial small subunit ribosomal RNA
Source: RNAcentral
AAUGUCUGGGAAACUGCCUGAUGGAGGGGGAUAACUACUGGAAACGGUAGCUAAUACCGCAUAACGUCGCAAGACCAAGAGGGGGACCUUCGGGCCUCUUGCCAUCGGAUGUGCCCAGAUGGGAUUAGCUAGUAGGUGGGGUAACGGCUCACCUAGGCGACGAUCCCUAGCUGGUCUGAGAGGAUGACCAGCCACACUGGAACUGAGACACGGUCCAG